Meleagris gallopavo (turkey) is the source of this 1021-nucleotide long non-coding RNA. RefSeq lists it as uncharacterized. The record is from RefSeq and is a predicted model, not a curated record. NCBI's taxonomy places the organism in Eukaryota, Metazoa, Chordata, Aves, Galliformes, Phasianidae.
AUUCUUGUCUAUCCCAUGACAGAACUGCUUACGUUCUAUCUGUCUCAUCAGCUGUGAGUCUCUUCUGCAUGCUGUGACCACAGAGCAGACUUUCUGCAGAUCUACUCACAGGGAAUCCAGGGAGGUUGUGGGAGUUUGCUUUUUGCCUGCUCUGUGGGGGCCUCCUGUGGCCUGAAUUAGAUGGCUGCUUCUCUUACUGCGAGGCAAAAAUAACUGGUGACUUAGACGAGGGAGAGCAGCGUGACUAAUGCCACGAUCAGAGAGAAGCGGUCGCUCCCUGUGUGUUUUGGAACGUUAUGACGCUUUUCAUCUGAAAGGACAACCUCUGUACUUUCAGUUUUUGGAAGAUUGGUUAAGAAUUUCUUUGAAUGGAUUCGAGCAAAGGAGGAUACCACCACCCCAUUGCAAGACAAAGAACUGGCAGUAGAAGAAGUAAGAAGUGUUCAGAGACAAGAACCACAGGAUAUGGCAGCAUUAUUGCCAACUUUAAUUUCAGUAUUUUUGUCAUUUAGAGCUGAGCAAUAUCACAGUAACAGUGUAAAACCUGUCAUCAAUACAAAUAGGGCAAAAACCCCAAACCAGGCAACAAAAAAUCAUAACCUGUAAUCCUCCACAGCCACAGACACACAUAGUCUGCAUGCAAUCUGCUCCUCAUAAGCGAUGUAGUACUUUGUGCUAGUUUCAUGCUAUGAAAACACAGACACAGCCUUUCUGAAAACAGGGAAGUUUAUCAGCAGAAAGUAGUGGAAUAAAGUGAGUAGUUGAAUUAAUUAAAGCAUUUAAUAUUACUUAUUCUACGGAAACAAGAGGGAAACCCUUCUAAAACUUUUAGAGCAUCUUGAAAAUCCAAUUCUUUUUGAUCCAUGAAAAAAAAGAGAAAAGAAAACAAGCUACAUUUGCCUGAUCACUGAAAUAUCUUGCUAUGCUUACCCUGCAGCUGAAUAUAUGCCGCCACAUACAUCGUAACUCAGCGAGCUUAGUGAGUACGAUUUCAGCAGCUGACGCUGCCGGAGCAGCCGGC